Molecule: ribosomal RNA, 703 nt
Filed under: uncultured archaeon
Lineage: Archaea
Description: bacterial SSU rRNA
Rfam family: Archaeal small subunit ribosomal RNA
Source: RNAcentral
CGAGUCGAGCGUCUCUAGCUAUGUUGAGACGCGGCAGACGGCUCAGUAACACGUGGCUAACCUACCCUCAGGACGAGGAUAAACCCGGGAAACUGGGGCUAAUACUCGAUAGGUGAGAAUGUCUGGAAUGACUUCCCACCCAAAGGGCCUUGGAAACAUGCUUUCAAUGUCGCCUGGGGAUGGGGCCGCGUCCGAUCAGGUUGUUGGUGAGGUAACGGCUCACCAAGCCUAUAACCGGUACGGGCCGUGAGAGCGGUAGCCCGGAGAUGGGUACUGAGACAAGGACCCAGGCCCUACGGGGCGCAGCAGUCGCGAAAACUCCGCAAUGCACGAAAGUGUGACGGGGCUACCCCGAGUGCCAUCCGCUGAGGAUGGCUUUUCUUUGGUAUAACUAGCCAUUGGAAUAAGGAGAGGGCAAGACUGGUGUCAGCCGCCGCGGUAAUACCAGCUCUCCGAGUGGUAGGGAUGAUUAUUGGGCUUAAAGCGUCCGUAGCCGGCUUAGCAAGUCUCCUGUUAAAUUCAGCGACCUAAUCGUUGACCCGCGGGAGAUACUACUAGGCUAGGAGGCGGGAGAGGUCGACGGUACUUCUGGGGUAGGGGUGAAAUCCUAUAAUCCCAGGAGGACCACCAGUGGCGAAGGCUGUUGACUAGAACGCGCUCGACGGUGAGGGACGAAAGCUGGGGGAGCGAACCGGAUUAGAUA